This 250-nucleotide ribosomal RNA is filed under the name uncultured Gardnerella sp. Its description in RNAcentral is "partial 16S ribosomal RNA". It matches the Rfam family "Bacterial small subunit ribosomal RNA", at positions 107 to 355 of the family's 1533-position model. The record is from RNAcentral. Lineage: Bacteria; Bacillati; Actinomycetota; Actinomycetes; Bifidobacteriales; Bifidobacteriaceae.
GGAGUAAUGCGUGACCAACCUGCCCCAUGCUCCAGAAUAGCUCUUGGAAACGGGUGGGGUAAUGCUGGAUGCUCCAACUUGACGCAUGUCUUGUUGGGAAAGUGUUUAGUGGCAUGGGAUGGGGUCGCGUCCUAUCAGCUUGUAGGCGGGGUAAUGGCCCACCUAGGCUUCGACGGGUAGCCGGCCUGAGAGGGCGGACGGCCACAUUGGGACUGAGAUACGGCCCAGACUCCUACGAGAGGCAGCAGCA